Molecule: ribosomal RNA, 495 nt
Filed under: uncultured bacterium
Lineage: Bacteria
Description: bacterial SSU rRNA
Rfam family: Bacterial small subunit ribosomal RNA
Source: RNAcentral
GACGAACGCUGGCGGCGUGGAUUAGGCAUGCAAGUCGAACGGUAGGAUACCUUCGGGUAUCUGAGAGUGGCGAACGGGUGAGUAACACGUAGGUGAUCUACCCUCAAGAUUGGGACAACCCAGGGAAACUUGGGCUAAUACCGGAUGAAAGCAGCAGUGAUGUUGUUUGAAAGGUGGCGUAAGCUGCCGUUUGGGGAUGAGCCUGCGCUCUAUUAGUUAGUUGGCGGGGUAAAGGCCCACCAAGGCGAUGAUAGAUAGGCGGCCUUAACGGGUGGUCGCCCACACUGGGAUUGAGAUACGGCCCAGACUCCUACGGGAGGCAGCAGUCGAGAAUAGUCUACAAUGGCCGAAAGGCUGAUAGUGCGACGCCGCGUGAACGAAGAAGCCCUUCGGGUGUAAAGUUCUUUUAUAUGUGAGCAGUGCUUUCUAUGUGAACAGCAUGGGGAGAGAGAUAUUAGCAUAAUGAAUAAGCAACGGCUAACUCCGUGCCAGCAC